RNAcentral lists this ribosomal RNA (225 nucleotides) under Mopalia swanii. RNAcentral describes it as "partial 28S ribosomal RNA". It matches the Rfam family "Eukaryotic large subunit ribosomal RNA", at positions 702 to 897 of the family's 3401-position model. Lineage: Eukaryota; Metazoa; Mollusca; Polyplacophora; Chitonida; Mopaliidae. The record is from RNAcentral.
CUAAACCCAAAGGCGCAAUGAAAGUAAAGGCAGCCCCGGGUUUGCCUAGGUAGGAUCUUUUUUUCUCUUUUNAGAGNAGGCGCACUACCGGCCCGUCUCGUCCGCGUUGCGGUGAGGCGGAGCGAGAGCGCACACGUUGGGACCCGAAAGAUGGUGAACUAUGCCUGAGUAGGACGAAGCCAGAGGAAACUCUGGUGGAAGUCCGUAGCGAUUCUGACGUGCAAA